GUAGGUGGCAAGCGUUGUCCGGAAUUAUUGGGCGUAAAGCGCGCGCGGCGGUUCUUUAAGUCUGAUGUGAAAGCCCACGGGCUCAGCCGUGGAGGGUCAUUGGAAACUGGAGAACUUGAGUACAGAAGAGGAAAGCGGAAUUCCACGUGUAGCGGUGAAAUGCGUAGAGAUGUGGAGGAACACCAGUGGCGAAGGCGGCUUUCUGGUCUGUAACUGACGCUGAGGCGCGAAAGCGUGGGGAGCAAACAGGAUUAGAUACCCUGGUAGUCCACGCCGUAAACGAUGAGUGCUAAGUGUUAGGGGGUUUCCGCCCCUUAGUGCUGCAGCUAACGCAUUAAGCACUCCGCCUGGGGAGUACGGCCGCAAGGCUG
Molecule: ribosomal RNA, 371 nt
Filed under: uncultured organism
Description: partial 16S ribosomal RNA
Rfam family: Bacterial small subunit ribosomal RNA
Source: RNAcentral